RNAcentral lists this long non-coding RNA (701 nucleotides) under Nicotiana benthamiana. RNAcentral describes it as "long non-coding RNA (NBEN_LNC022564)". The record is from RNAcentral. Lineage: Eukaryota; Viridiplantae; Streptophyta; Magnoliopsida; Solanales; Solanaceae.
CAGAUUCCAAAUAAACUCAUCAAAUGAUAGAACCCCAAACCAAAUAGGAAUUUGACCCAAAUGAUUUCAAUAACACCCCACUGACUCGAAAUAUUCCCAGUUACCCUCCGAAAAUUAUCAACAGACCAACCCUUGACCAGAAUCAACUAAUCAGGAUCCAAAACUUACUCAAAUUUAACUCAAAAUAUUUCUGAAACUUCAGCAGGGCCAACUCAAACAAAACUCAACUUAAUUUGGCCCAAAAUCACUCCAAAUGGACCUCUAAGCUUGAGUAACCAAAGAUCAAACUUAAGAAUGUGAAUCUACGACUAACUUGAAACUAACCUAAUCCCAAAAUCACUCCAAAUGGACCUCUAAGUUUAAGCAACCAAAGAUCGAACUUAAGAAUGUGAAUCUACGACUAACUUGAAACUAACCUAAGGUUCAGUAAUGGAACAGUCCUAUUCUUUUUGAUUUUUUGGAAAUUUUCUAGUGUUUUUGGUUUUGUUUUUUUGAAGAAAACUUAGAUUUAAGGGAAUUUCAGAUCUGGAAGCUUGGGGUAUUUUUUGGGCUACCAAACUUGAAAUUACACUGAAAUUUUAAUUGAAACAGUGCUAUUUUUUUUUUGAAGUUUUCUGAUUUUUUUUUAUUUUUCUUUUGAAGAUUUGAAGUUUGGAUCUUCAGAUUUCAUAUCUGAAUUUAUAAAGAAAGGCAAGGAAUUG